RNAcentral lists this long non-coding RNA (8239 nucleotides) under Brassica napus (rape). Its description in RNAcentral is "long non-coding RNA (BNAP_LNC000960)". The record is from RNAcentral. Lineage: Eukaryota; Viridiplantae; Streptophyta; Magnoliopsida; Brassicales; Brassicaceae.
UGAAUCAAAUUUGAUAUCAGGACGAGAUGCUGUUGAGGGAGCCCAAGCACUGGUGGCUUUAGGACCACCCGCUGUUCCAUCUGGUAUGGCUUCAAUCCUGGCCGGAAGCGCAAGCACCAAAUCAUUUCUAGCAGCAAGCUCUUCCGUUGAUAAUGUCUUUACUAGUAAGCUAACUCUAAAAAUGAACAAGUUGACAAAAAAGUUGAUGAGAUCAAAUACAUGUGAAGUUAUGAGAUCAAAUACAUUUGGUAGUGUGUACUGACAAAAAGUUACUAGAUCAAACUAAUCAUAAUCUAUACGUAAAUGCGAUCAGAUAAUCAUAUAUUCAUUUACAUUUUGUCACGCAACGAAAGUAUGAUUAAGAAUCAAUAAAUGUUUUCUAACUAAAUUACUAAAGUCUGUUGAAGUGAACUUGAAGUAGCUUAGGAAACAAGCUACCACUUUCUUAUGAGAUUAGGAAAGUAAUAAGUUAGAGUUAUCUAUAAGAGUAGUUUCCUAAUGAGUUUAGGAACUUGAGUUUAUAUAUAAAGGAUAUGCAAGAGUGUUGCAUAACUUGUGAGAGUUGAGAGCUUUAGUUUUUGAGUUAUUUUUCUAAAGCAUUGAGUGUUAUAAUAAAGAGUUUGAGUUUGAGAUUAAGUGUUUGAUUCAAUAAUUGGUAUCAGAGCUUCUAUUGAGUCAAAUUCUUUUCGGCGACAAUGGGAGAAAUCGUUGCCACCACCAAAACAAAGAUUGGUUCAUCAUCGAUCCAAUGUCCAAUGCUUACCGAUACAAAUUACACAGUUUGGACAAUGCGAAUGAAAGUGGCGCUUAAGGUUCAUAAGGUCUGGGAGACCAUCGAGCCAGGAGAGGAGGAAGGAGAAAAGAGUGAUAUAGCGAGAGCCCUUCUUUUCCAGUCUAUACCAGAGUCAUUGAUACUACAAGUGGGAAACUUAGAGACAGCAAAAUCUGUAUGGAACGCAAUAAACACUAGACAUAUGGGAGCUGAUCGAGUGAAGGAAGCACGGCUGCAAACCCUAAUGAAUGACUUUAAUAGGUUGAAGAUGAAGGAAACUGAGUCCAUUGAUAAUUUUGUGGGGAAGCUCUCGGAGAUAUCAACCAAGUCAGCCUCUCUUGGAGAAGAAAUCGAAGAACCAAAACUUGUUAAGAAGUUUCUGAGCAGUCUACCUCGAAAGAAGUACAUACACAUUAUCGCAGCACUUGAGCAAGUGCUUGACCUAAACAAAACAAACUUCGAAGACAUUGUGGGGAGGUUAAAAGCCUAUGAAGAGAGAAUACAAGACGAAGAAGAAGAGAAACAAGACGAGCAAGGUCAAGAUAAACUUAUGUACACUGACUCACAGCCACAACAAGAGAGAUAUGAGCCAUGGAGAGGUAGAGGAAGAGGUGGCAGAUAUGGAAAUCGUGGCAGAGGCCGGGGACGUUAUGGAUAUCAACAGAAUGGAUAUCAACAAAACGGAUAUCAGCAGAAUGGGUAUUAUCGACAAGAGAGAGAUGCGUCUAAAGUAGAAUGUUUCCGGUGUGAUAAGAUAGGGCAUUUCGCUCAAAACUGCCCUGAUCGUCUCUUAAAGCUUCAAGAGACACAAGAGACAGAGGAUAAAACUCAAGAAGCAGAGGAACUAAUGAUGCAAGAGGUGGUGCUUCUCAAUGAACGCAACUGCAUGCCAAGCAUGUUUGAGACAAACUCAACAGUUGAAAAUCUAUGGUACUUGGAUAAUGGGGCUAGCAACCACAUGACAGGAAACCUCGCCUACUUCUCUAAUCUCGACCAGAGAGUAACAGGUAAGGUAAAGUUUGGAGAUGAUUCAAAAAUCGACAUAAAAGGUAAAGGAUCGAUACUGUUUUCUACAAAGAAUGGUGAGAGAAAGAUUCUAUCAGACGUCUACUAUAUACCUGAUCUAAAGAGCAAUAUCAUUAGUUUGGGUCAAGCCACUGAGUCGGGAUGCGAAGUCAGAAUGAAAGAAGAAGAGUUGCUUCUAUUUGAUCGAGACAAAAGGCUAUUGAUCAAAGCAAAGAGGUCAAGAAACCGGUUAUAUAAGGUAAUUAUGGAAGUUGAGAACGCUAAGUGCUUACAACUGAUGCAUCUCAGGGAGUCAACAAAGUGGCACGCACGUUUAGGGCACACAGGUCUGAACAACCUAAAGACAAUGAUAUCCAAAGGCCUCGUCGUUGGAAUUCCACAGCUCAAAAUCGAGAAGGAAACGUGCGUAUCUUGCUUAAAGGGCAAGCAAGUUCGAAACUCAUACCCGCAAGCAAGUUCUUAUCGAGCAGCUAAGGUAUUGGAGCUCAUCCAUGGGGAUUUAUGUGGCCCUAUAACACCAGCCACAGCGGGAGGCAGUAGAUAUGUGUUCGUAUUGAUUGAUGAUCAUUCUAGGUAUAUGUGGACCGUCUUAAUGAGAGAAAAAAGUGAAGCAUUCACCAAGUUUAAGAGAUUCAAAACUAUUGUGGAACAAGAAGCUGGUACAACAAUCAAAACGUUCAGAACUGAUAGAGGAGGAGAAUUUACAUCUCAAGAGUUCAAUGACUUCUGCGUAGAAUCAGGGAUCAAACGCCACUUAACCGCACCAUAUUCUCCACAGCAGAAUGGAGUGGUCGAGAGGAGAAACAGAACGUUGCUUGAGAUGACGCGUAGUAUUUUAAAACAUAUGAACGUUCCAAACUGGCUUUGGGGAGAAGCAGUCCGACACGCAACAUAUCUAAUCUGGGUGUCAACGAGAACGCUGGAAGGACUUGUUCCAUAUGAAGGUUACAAGGGAAAGAAGCCAAACAUUGGUCAUCUGAGAGUCUUCGGUUGUGUUGGUUACGUAAAGAUACAUAAGGCUCAUCUCAAGAAGCUAGACGAUCGAUCAAAAGCCCUAGUUCACCUAGGGACCGAACCAGGUUCCAAAGCAUAUAGGUUGCUCGAUCCAACAAGUCGCAAAGUGGUCGUAAGCCGUGAUGUGGUAUUUGAUGAGGAGCAAGGUUGGAAGUGGAGUGAAAUAGAGAAAACAGGGGAUAGAGAGUAUGAAACUAUAGACUUCGGAUUUAAGUUACUUGGAGAUCAAGUAAAACAGAGUGAUGAAGAUGAGGAUCACGAAGCUAUUAGCGAAGCAGGAAACGAAGUAGAAUCUGAGCAAGCAACUCCACCUCCACUGAGACGCUCCACCCGGGUAAGCCACUUACCAAAAUACUUAGAAGAUUAUGAACUAAUGUGUGAAGAAGAUGGGUAUGAGAAUCUUUGCGAGAUUGAAUGUGAGCAUAUGUUGCUUCUUGUCAAUGACGAGCCAUGGAGUUAUGAAGAAGCACGAGAACUAAAAGUUUGGAGAGACGCUUGCGACGACGAGAUCAAGUCAAUAGUCAAAAACAACACUUGGACACUAGUUGAGCUACCUCCAACGUGCAAAGCAAUUGGUUUAAAAUGGGUUUUCAAGAUAAAGAAAAACUCUGAUGGAAGUAUAAACAAGUUUAAAGCAAGACUUGUAGCUAAGGGAUACAUACAAAAACAUGGCAUAGAUUUUGAUGAGGUCUUUGCCCCGAUUGCUAGAAUAGAGACGGUACGUUUGAUAAUAGGAAUGGCUGCAUCACACGGCUGGGAACUGCAUCACUUGGAUGUAAAAACGGCUUUUCUCCACGGAGAAUUGAAAGAAGAGGUAUAUGUCUCACAACCUGAAGGAUAUGAGAUCAAAGGUAGUGAAACAAAGGUGUAUCGUUUAAAGAAGGCGUUGUACGGCUUAAGACAAGCACCAAGAGCUUGGAACGAGAAGCUCAACUCUGUUCUACAAGGUCUGAAGUUUGAAAGAUGUUUAAAAGAACCAUCACUCUACCGUAAGAAGAAGCAAGGUGAUAUCUUGAUAGUAGCUGUGUACGUCGAUGAUUUACUCAUCACAGGCUCAAGUAUGGAAUUAAUACACGAGUUUAAGAGUGAUAUGGCAACAAGGUUCGAAAUGAGUGAUCUCGGGCGAUUAAGUUACUACCUUGGUAUAGAGGUUAGACAACAAAAGGGAAGCAUCGUACUCAAUCAGGAGAGAUACGCCACUAAGAUACUCGAAGAAGCUGGUUUGAAGGGGUGUAAUGCGGUACACAUACCAAUGGAUGCAGGGUUGAAAAUAAGCAAGGCAGAAGAGGAGCGUGGCAUAGAUGAAAGAGACUAUAGAAGAAACAUUGGUUGUCUCAGGUAUCUGAUACAUACACGGCCUGAUCUUGCUUAUAGUGUUGGUGUGCUGAGCCGCUAUAUGCACGCACCAAAGGAGUCACACAAGGCCGCGCUCAAGCAAGUAUUGAGAUAUCUUAGCGGAACGCGGAGCUAUGGUCUUGAGUUCAAAGUGGGAUCGAAGGAAGGACUUAUAGGCUAUAGUGAUAGCAGUUACAAUGUUGAUCCAGAUGAUGGUAAGAGCACAACUGGUCACAUAUUCUAUCUUGGUGGCAAUCCUAUUACCUGGUGCUCUCAGAAGCAAGAGAUCGUAGCUUUAUCUUCCUGUGAAGCAGAGUAUAUGGCCGGAACAGAGACAGCUAAGCAAGCCGUGUGGUUACAGGAGCUGCUUGAAGAGAUUUACGGACAAGCAAGUGAUAAAGUGGUGAUCCGUAUAGACAACAAGUCUGCAAUUGCGUUAGCCAAAAAUCCGGUGUUCCAUGGUCGCAGUAAACACAUUCACACAAGGUUCCACUUCAUAAGAGAGUGUGUUGAAAGGAGUUUAGUAAGCGUGGAACAUAUAGCUGGUGUGAAACAGAAAGCCGACAUCCUAACCAAAGCGCUUGGGAGGAUUAAGUUUAAAGAGAUGAGAGAUCUAAUUGGAAUUCAAGAUGUAUCAAAUGGAGACUUCAAGAUCAAGGGGGUGAAUGUUGAAGUGAACUUGAAGUAGCUUAGGAAACAAGCUACCACUUUCUUAUGAGAUUAGGAAAGUAAUAAGUUAGAGUUAUCUAUAAGAGUAGUUUCCUAAUGAGUUUAGGAACUUGAGUUUAUAUAUAAAGGAUAUGCAAGAGUGUUGCAUAACUUGUGAGAGUUGAGAGCUUUAGUUUUUGAGUUAUUUUUCUAAAGCAUUGAGUGUUAUAAUAAAGAGUUUGAGUUUGAGAUUAAGUGUUUGAUUCAAUAAAGUCUUCAUACAUUCAACGUAGCAUCUAUAUUAUUAACAAAAGAGUAAUAAUAGAAACAAAACAAAAAAAAACUCGAUCUUGGUAACAUAAAAACACCAUGGAAAGGUGUUCAAAGUAGGUUCAUGGGUGGAGUUUCUUGGCCAACGGACCCCAUCAUCAUCUCCUUUACCCACUUUUCUCCCCCAAUUUAUAUUCUCUCUCUCUCUGCUUUUCCUUUUAAUCACCGAUCCACCCAUCAAAACACAAACUUUCUUCGAUUCGAUCCAUAAAAAUCUCACCUUUUCUGAUCAUUCUCCUCAUGGGCAACAUCAGCAGCAGCGGAGGAGGCGGCGACGGUAGACGCCGCAGACAACAACGGCGGAGCAACACCCUUCCUUCUCCUUCUCCACCACCGCCACCACCUCCUUCUCUUCCUCCACCGCCACCACCCAAUCGCAUCGUCUUCGCCGCCGCUACACCGUACCCAAACCCUAACUACCAGUAUCCAGGCUACUACCCUCCUCCUCCUCCGGGGCCUUACGACCAGCACCAUCACAUCCACUAUCCUCCUCCUCCGCAGCAGCAUCCUUAUCACCACCCUUACGGAAGAUACCCUUACAAUGGACCCAUGAUGCCUCCGCAGCUUCCCUGCGUCGAGCAUCAGAAAGCCGUCACCAUUCGUAACGACGUUAAUCUAAAAAAGGAGUCUUUAAAGCUCGAACCCGACCCGGAUAACCCGACCCGGGUCCUCGUCUCCUUCACGUUUGAUGCAACUGUACCCGGAAGGUAAUAAAAAGUUAAAAACCCAACCUUUAUCUAUAUUAAAAGAAAAAUCUGAACCUUUAGAUUGGUGUUGUCUUAAAAACAGAAUCACAGUCAUAUUCUUCGCUAAAGAAACCGAACAAUGCGUCAUCACAGCGACAAAGGAAGACACUUUACCACCGAUCACAAUGGACUUCGAGAAAGGGCUUGGUCAGAAGUUCAAACAGCCUCCCGGGUCCGGUAUAGAUUUGUCGUUAUUCGAAGACGCCGAGCUGUUUAAGGCGGCAGCGUUAGAGACUGAUGUGUAUCCGUUGGCGGUUAAGGCGGAAGCAGUUAGUUCAGGUGAAGAGAGUUUGUCUAAGAACGCGCAGAUAACUCAAGCGGUUUACGAGAAGGAGAAAGGAGAGGUUAAGAUAAGAGUGGUGAAGCAGAUACUGUGGGUUAACGGGACUAGGUAUGAGUUGCAGGAGAUUUAUGGGAUUGGGAAUACGGUUGGUGGGGACGAUGAUGGGGAUGAUGAUGGGGAGGAUCAGGGGAAAGAGUGUGUUAUUUGUUUGUCAGAGCCGUCGGACACGACUGUUCUUCCUUGUCGACAUAUGGUAAGUAAGAUUCAAUGUUUUUGAUGAACUGUGUUUCUCUUGUGGACUGAGGUGGAAAGGUGUUUUGUGGUGUAGUGUAUGUGCAGUGGAUGUGCUAAGGUGUUGAGGUUUCAGACGAAUCGAUGCCCGAUUUGUAGGCAGCCUGUUGAGAGGCUUUUGGAGAUACAAGUUCAUGGUAAUAGUGGGAGUGGGAAUGAUGCUGAGCAUGGAAGAGGAACAGCUGAACAAGAGUAGCUAAACACGGGUGGAGCGUGGAUAGAAUGGACACAUCUAUAUGCAUGUUUGAUCCAUGUGUAACAUGUUAAACAAUAAAAUGUCCUGAUUGCCAAUUUAUAAUAUAGAAAUUUUCAAAGUCAUUUCAAUUCACAAUCACGAUUCUUCGAUAUUAGAAUUGGAUUAUGUUGAUGCAGUUUGGUUAUUUAUUCUGAGAACAGACCAAACAAUAAGCUUUGACCAGACAUUGACAAGGGCAUGAGUGAAUAUAAUUACAUAAAUUUGGUAAACUUAAUAAGAUAUGUAUUCACCAUGUAUGGACAUAAACAACAUAACAGAAGGAUAAUAAGAAACAACUUCAAUAGUCUUGACACUCGGAAGAAACUCUCGUCGAAUCACACAAAUACAGAAAGAAACAAGCACUCACACACACACUGACUCAGGGUAAGAGACGGUAACAGCAGUGGGCAAAGAGAGAGUACUGAUGGGUCCUUUCUUGUUCAUCUCAUUACUUCAGUACACUGCAGAGAACAAAGGUUUGUUCUGUUAAAGAAACUCUUUUUUUUUCACUCUAUCUAAUGCAUCCUUUUUGUAUGUAGAAGAAACUUACUUGUAUAAGUAUGCAGCGAUACCAAGAACAAUACACAACAAAACAAUAUCGAUGCAAAAGUUCCGGCUUGACCUCAGCUGCAGUAACAAAAGCCAUGCUUUUUAGUGUUAUGAAUCAUCAACAACAGGCCAAUAUGGCAAGUUUCAAGGCUCAAAGAUCACCUGGUUCACAGUAUCUUUAAGUCUAACAUUGGUGUUUUUAAGAUCCGAGGUUGCUCUGUCCACCUGUGAGCGAGCUCAGUAAGUUACUCAGAUUAUACAACUAAUGGUUUAAGAGAAAAGGAAAGGAAACUGGGGUGUGUUCUACCUUGGAGUCGAUUUCAUCCAUCAGAGGAACUUGCCUAUCCAGCUCCUGCAUGUAUAGAGUGUUCGUGACAUGGAUCAUCAUCUCAAGUGCUGAAUAAGUGAAGUGAGUUUAACAAACGCACCUCGUUCAUAUCAGACGCCAUAUUCUUCAAAGCAUCUAAACCUUCCGAGAUCAUGUCCAGACCUUGUUCCUGCUUGAUUUUCCGCAUCUCAUACUCCUGUCUGAAUUGGCUGGACUCAUGUGAUUCUUGAAAGUAAUCAUCAUCAAAACGCCCAUCUAAUAUCCACAAUAGAGGUGAGUUAGUGCAAGCACUAUACAAUAAGGAACAAACUAGUUUGUGGUUGAAUCACCUGAAUCAAAUUUGAUAUCAGGACGAGAUGCUGUUGAGGGAGCCCAAGCACUGGUGGCUUUAGGACCACCCGCUGUGCCAUCAGGUAUGGCUUCAAUCCUGGCCGGAAGCGCAAGCACCAAAUCGUUUCUAGCAGCAAGCUCUUCGGUUGUAAGGCCUUUAACCUAAAGAUUACCACCACAUGUUUAAUUCUCCAGCCAAUGGACAACCAUCUGAAUGUGAUUAAUUUACCAUAAAACAUACUUUGUUUAACAAGCUUUAAUGAAAAACAAUCACACAUUAACGAUAUCAUCCUAAAAAUAAGAAUCAUAUAAGUUCAACCAAGCUACGUAGAAUCAAUGUAUGAGAAAGGAC